CUCUCUCCCUCUCUCUCUCUCUUAUACCAGGUGUAGAACUAAAAUCUAAUUCAAGUUUAAGUUUAUUAUCUUAAAAAAUAUCUGGUUUGAUUAAAUGCAAGUUUGUUUUAAAGGGCUAUGUCUGGUGAAAGUUAUUUUCAUCUUUUUCCAUGUUGUUUUCGGUAACGAAAAUCUCUUAUUGAACAUUGAAUAGGCACGGCUAGCCAUGUCCUAAAUCAUAAUGUAUCGGUUAUGCAAGAAAAUUCGUUUGGAGUGUUUCCGGUUAUGAGUUAAAAGAGAACAACACGCCGCUUCGACAGGAACAUAUUCACCAAAACUAAAUAAAGAUGCUGCUUAUCCGGAACCAAAGACGUAGCAAUCAAGGCUAGACCCAGAUAGUAUGUCAACUGUAUGUAUAGUAGGUGCAGAGAAUUGAAGAAGAUAGAGUGUAUUAUUCUAAGGGACCAUUUAGACAGAGAUCGCCUUCAAAAAAAUGUAUUUACCGAAUGCACCAAAUCGACAUGCCAGAGAACAACCCAUCAGGCAACAUGAUGGUUACAGAAUAAACGACUCUAAGCUGUUGCAGCCGCAGAGACUUGGACUAAACUUUGAUUACAUGUCAGAAUCUAAUGUGUAAUAAAAAUACUAGUUAAU
Molecule: long non-coding RNA, 633 nt
Organism: Ostrea edulis (European flat oyster)
Lineage: Eukaryota; Metazoa; Mollusca; Bivalvia; Ostreida; Ostreidae
Exons: 3
Source: RefSeq, a predicted model, not a curated record